Long non-coding RNA from Puntigrus tetrazona (Sumatra barb), 1678 nucleotides. RefSeq lists it as uncharacterized. NCBI's taxonomy places the organism in Eukaryota, Metazoa, Chordata, Actinopteri, Cypriniformes, Cyprinidae. The record is from RefSeq and is a predicted model, not a curated record. The transcript is spliced from 2 exons.
GCUCCUCCCCUUCUACUUCCCAUUGGCUGCAGCACUAGGGUUCCCAUGGAAAACACUACCUAGUGACGUCAAUAUGCGCUCAUUGGUGUAUGACUCCGCCAGUCUCUUUAUAUAAAUCUUGCAGGCGCCGCACGUGGAAUCCCAUGCCGAUGCUAUGAUCUCGGAAAAUAGAGUGACCGUAUAAAGUUCAAAAUGACGUCCAGCAUAGCCAGUGGUGUGGGCAGCCAAUGCUGCGGCACCCUGGGAGUAGUUGGGUGUUCGGUGCCACAGCGAUUUGAAGAAAGGACGGCCUGGUGUCAAGAAGCAACAAAGAAGACACAGAUGAUAUUAUGCAAAUGGUACAGAGAUUGGACUGCUGAGGACUAGGGUAAAGUAAUUUUUGGGAUAAAUCCCCUUUUUUAUUGUUAGACAGCAUUCCAGGGUGAAUUGCAGUUGAAAUUGAGGCCUUAAAAUAGAAGGAUCAACACUGCAAAUAUUGCAUAAAUUUAAUACAAUUGUCAAUAAAGCCUUGGCACUUAUGAAAUACAUAUAAUUAUACUGACAAAAAUAUCUAUAAACACAGAAGCAGCAGACUUUGUGGAACCUAAUAUAUUUCUCAAAAUUUUGUCCAAAACCAGUACAGUUUUGGAAACCACUACAUAUGGCUGUCCUCUCAAAAUAUGCUCUAUUUUAGGGUAUGGGGGUAGUUUUGGACACAGCCUCUGUCAGUUCAAGUCCAUGGAGGUGAGAACAAUUUUUACAGUGUAUAUUAAAAUUAUUCAAACCUUUUUUGUGUUUUGUUGUUUUACAGCCAUAAUCAGGGUUUCAUUUAGGUAAGGCUCUAUUUUUCAUGAGGAUCAUGAUCUGUUGACUGUUAUAACAAUGUUCAUUAUAUAUGGAUAUACUUUUUAUUUAAACACUUUUGUGCAGGUUUGUGCAAAUAAAUGUAGGGUGUUGCGCCUAGAACAGUUCAGUUCAUUUAAAAAUCAUAUAGUUAUCCUCAUGCUUAAUGGGGAGUUACUGGGGUUCAAAAUAUUCAUUAACGGCAGUUGUUUCAUCCAAAUGUUUUUUAUUUUGCACCAAACUCUAAAAUGAUUUUUAACUUUUUUUCAGUUAUUUAUUAUUUAUUCAGUAAUUGUACUUAUGAGGGAAAGUUCAAUGAAAGUAACUUUAAUAGUAUUUAUAUAAAAUGGGCAAGACAGAGCAAAGCCUGUAUUAAAGGUUUCAAUGAAAUCAAAAGUCAGUGUAACAUACAGCAACAUGAGCAUACACACACACACACACACACACACACACACACACAAAAUAAGUUUACAGUUGCACUUUUACAUUUGCAUAUUGCACCAAGGCAUCAAGACAUCUUCUAAAAUAGCAUAAGGAGUAGGGCCAAAAGACAUUUGAGUAUAACCUGUUCUAGUGUAAAAUGAAAUUUAUUUGAUAGGCACAAAUCUUACUCUCAUAUACCAUAACAGCACAGGAAAUGAAUGUAUAAUUCUCUGGAAUGUUGGUCCUAGAAUCUUUGCAUUGCUCUUAAUAAUCUUCUAAUCACAGUGCAAACUUUCUUCCCAUUCACACAUACAGAUAUUCAGUGUAAAAAUAACAUGCUCAGUGCAUCAAAACAUCCCUAGUCACACAGCCAAAAAGAGAAGCAGCACUAGAGACAGCAUGUUAUGUACAGUAAAAAAAAAACAUUGAAAAU